RNAcentral lists this ribosomal RNA (499 nucleotides) under Pseudomonas sp. RNAcentral's name for it is "bacterial SSU rRNA". It matches the Rfam family "Bacterial small subunit ribosomal RNA", at positions 36 to 524 of the family's 1533-position model. Lineage: Bacteria; Pseudomonadati; Pseudomonadota; Gammaproteobacteria; Pseudomonadales; Pseudomonadaceae. The record is from RNAcentral.
UUUGACCUGGCGGCAGGCUUAACACAUGCAAGUCGAGCGGAUGAAGAGAGCUUGCUCUCUGAUUCAGCGGCGGACGAUGCGGUGAGUAAUGCCUAGGAAUCUGCCUGGUAGUGGGGGACAACGUUUCGAAAGGAACGCUAAUACCGCAUACGUCCUACGGGAGAAAGCAGGGGACCUUCGGGCCUUGCGCUAUCAGAUGAGCCUAGGUCGGAUUAGCUAGUUGGUGAGGUAAUGGCUCACCAAGGCGACGGAUCCCGUAACUGGUCUGAGAGGAUGAUCAGUCACACUGGAACUGAGACACGGUCCAGACUCCUACGGGAGGCAGCAGUGGGGAAUAUUGGACAAUGGGCGAAAGCCUGAUCCAGCCAUGCCGCGUGUGUGAAGAAGGUCUUCGGAUUGUAAAGCACUUUAAGUUGGGAGGAAGGCUGUACUUAAUACUCUGCAUUUUGACGUUACCGACAGAAUAAGCACCGCUAACUCUGUGCAGAACCGCGGUAUC